AUGGAAAGUGUUGCCAUGUUGUCGGCUCAGCUAAAGUCCUUAAUCAUGAGGAGAUGGGACAUGUCGAUUGUUAGAGUACAGUUGACAGAGGUGAUCGACGCUGACUUCGCCGCGAAGCCUUGUUGCCACGUCGCACAGAUGAUCGUCCAGGUGAUUUCGACGUCGGAGGUCGCCGAGGUGGAGGACCUUGACGCCACCGUCCGGGGGAGGGAGGAUUCGAGUCCACCGACGUCUGAACUCCGAGCCUAG
RNAcentral lists this ribosomal RNA (249 nucleotides) under Triticum aestivum (bread wheat). RNAcentral describes it as "partial small subunit ribosomal RNA". Lineage: Eukaryota; Viridiplantae; Streptophyta; Magnoliopsida; Poales; Poaceae. The record is from RNAcentral.